UACGUAGGGUGCGAGCGUUGUCCGGAAUUAUUGGGCGUAAAGAGCUUGUAGGCGGUUUGUCGCGUCUGCCGUGAAAAUCCGAGGCUCAACCUCGGACUUGCGGUGGGUACGGGCAGACUAGAGUGUGGUAGGGGAGACUGGAAUUCCUGGUGUAGCGGUGAAAUGCGUAGAUGUCAGGAGGAACGCCGGAGGCGAAAGCGAGUGACUGGCGCGUUCCUGACGCUGAGGUGCGAAAGCUAGGGGAGCAAACAGG
This 253-nucleotide ribosomal RNA is filed under the name uncultured bacterium. RNAcentral's name for it is "partial 16S ribosomal RNA". It matches the Rfam family "Bacterial small subunit ribosomal RNA", at positions 524 to 776 of the family's 1533-position model. The record is from RNAcentral.